RNAcentral lists this ribosomal RNA (780 nucleotides) under uncultured Neocallimastigales. RNAcentral's name for it is "partial large subunit ribosomal RNA". It matches the Rfam family "Eukaryotic large subunit ribosomal RNA", at positions 24 to 643 of the family's 3401-position model. The record is from RNAcentral. Lineage: Eukaryota; Fungi; Neocallimastigomycota; Neocallimastigomycetes; Neocallimastigales.
UAUCUCUGUAGAGUCUGCAUAUCAAUAAGCGGAGGAAAAGAAACUAACUAGGAUUCCCUCAGUAACGGCGAGUGAAGCGGGAAGAGCUCAAAUUUGAAAUCUUCAAGGUUCUACCUUGACGAAUUGUAGUUUAAAGAAGUGUUUUCUGUUGGAGUUUCGGUAAAAGUUCUUUGGAAUAGGACAUCAUAGAGGGUGAGAAUCCCGUAUUUGACCGUUAUUCAUUCUAGCUUUGUGAUACACUUUCAAAGAGUCGGAUUGUUUGGGAAUGCAGUCCAAAAUGGGUGGUAAAUUUCAUCUAAAGCUAAAUAUUGGCGAGAGACCGAUAGCGAACAAGUACCGUGAGGGAAAGAUGAAAAGAACUUUGAAAAGAGAGUUAAACAGUACGUGAAAUUGUCAAAAGGGAAGCGUUUGACACCAGUGUUGUUUUUCCGAAAAAUCAAUUACGAAUGGCUUGAUUUUGUGUUGUAUUGACCUUAUCAGCUUUCUGCACUUUUUUCGAGUCUUUCUUAAUGCACUUUUCGGUUAACAAGUCAACAUCAAUUUCUUUUGUUGUAAAAGAGUAUUCGGAAGGUGGCUUUCUUUUCGGAGAAAGUGUUUAUAGCCCUAUACUUCUACAAUCGGAGAGAUUGAGGUCUGCAGCGUAGAUCCUUCGGGGUUAGAUACACUUUGUGCUAAGUUGUAGCCUUUCAUAGACAACUUGUUGACUAUGAUCAGUCAUGUAGGCUUACUCGCUUGUGCUAUUUUACCUACGCUUAGGAUGUUGAAGAUGUAGCACAUCAU